GCACCACAAGAACGCGUGGAGCAUGUGGCUUAAUUUGACUCAACGCGGGAAAUCUUACCGGGUCCGGACACACUGAGGAUUGACAGGCAAUAUCUCAUGUUAACGGUAAGUUUACUUACCGCUUAACAUCGAGUGUUAAAUAUGCUAGUCCUUUCAUGAUUAUGUGAUAGGUGGUGCAUGGCCGUUCUUAGUUCGUGGAGUGAUCUGUCUGCUUAAUUGCGUUUCACUAAGGGCCCAUAAAUUCAAGGUAUGUUAGCUCUCGUCGCUCUAUGGACCCCUUAACUCCAAUAUUCUUAUUGUGUUAAGCGCGUGUCUUUAUUUUAAGAGUUUUAAGACACUGCGCAUGCUGUUGGGCUCUGAAAGCAACGAACGUGACCGCAACGUCUUGUUGCCUUAAACUAGCGUAUAUUGCAAUUUAUUGUAAUAUCGCUUACAGAGGCUAUUUAAAACUAGACGGACCGCUGUUUCUUUCUUAAACCA
RNAcentral lists this ribosomal RNA (480 nucleotides) under Neogloboquadrina pachyderma. RNAcentral describes it as "SSU rRNA". It matches the Rfam family "Eukaryotic small subunit ribosomal RNA", at positions 1164 to 1436 of the family's 1831-position model. Lineage: Eukaryota; Foraminifera; Rotaliida; Globorotaliidae. The record is from RNAcentral.